This 468-nucleotide ribosomal RNA is filed under the name uncultured bacterium. RNAcentral describes it as "partial 16S ribosomal RNA". It matches the Rfam family "Bacterial small subunit ribosomal RNA", at positions 28 to 507 of the family's 1533-position model. The record is from RNAcentral.
GACGAACGCUGGCGGCGUGCUUAACACAUGCAAGUCGAACGGAAAGGCCCUGCUCUUGUGGGGUGCUCGAGUGGCGAACGGGGGAGUAACACGUGAGUAACCUGCCCUUGACUUUGGGAUAACUUCAGGAAACUGGGGCUAAUACCGGAUAGGAGCUCCUGCUGCAUGGUGGGGGUUGGAAAGUUUCGGCGGUUGGGGCUGGACUCGCGGCUUAUCAGCUGGUUGGUGGGGUAGUGGCUUACCAAGGCUUUGACGGGUAGCCGGCCUGAGAGGGUGACCGGCCACAUUGGGCCUGAGAUACGGCCCAGACUCCUACGGGAGGCAGCAGUGGGGAAUAUUGCACAAUGGGCGGAAGCCUGAUGCAGCAACGCCGCGUGCGGGAUGACGGCCUUCGGGUUGUAAACCGCUUUCGCCUGUGACGAAGCGUGAGUGACGGUAAUGGGUAAAGAAGCACCGGCUAACUACGUG